RNAcentral lists this unclassified non-coding RNA (878 nucleotides) under Hevea brasiliensis (rubber tree). Lineage: Eukaryota; Viridiplantae; Streptophyta; Magnoliopsida; Malpighiales; Euphorbiaceae. The record is from RNAcentral.
UCUCUCAAGUUUCAAUGAAUAAGAAAUAAAUAUAGGGAUAAGUGAUUGUUUUUGUGGGACAUACCUAUCUUGGGAGUGCUCAGAAGGAAUUAUAGGGCUAGCUCAAGUUUUAGAAUGAGAGUGUCUUUUCUGAGACAGGUUUGAAUCAAGUUAAUAAAGCAAUCCCCAACCCUUACAAAAGAAAUCAAUGCUGAGUGGAUUUUGCAGCUUAGUUUUUUGGUUAUUAGCUGUAUAACUGUGGUUAUGUUGACCCUACCCAAAAUUGGCUUGUCAUUGCUUUCCUAUAUGCCUCUUAGAGAUGAUAACUCCCUCUUGUGAACAUUCAUGUUCAUUGUUUGGAAAUACAAUCCCGUAAUGCUCCCUCUGACUAAUAUCAUGUGCGAUAUUCAUCCUCAAGAGAGUAAAUUGACGAGUAAUAUUUUUUAGUAUAGUCAGAAUCAUAUGAUUUUCCUUCCUCUCAGCUCUUUUGUUGCUUUAAUUAAACAUCUAUUAUUUGAUUCAAUGUCAAAGUUUUGGUCUUAUUGCCUCUAUAUUUCCCUUCUUGGGACAAACUAGGACCAAAUAAAUGGGGUCAUAAUAGAUUAUAUUUGUUCAGUUGUCACAUGCUAGUAAGUCUUAUUAACUUCCACAAAUUAAGGGAAAACAUGGAGUUAACAUUGGGUUUACUUUAGGUUUUAAUGAAAUUUAUUGAAUUGUUUAAAUUUCACUUCUGAUAGGAGGAAGAAAACAUUUUUGAGGGAGGUGUGGGGAACCAAUCCUCCAAAGAGCUUGCUUUCUUUGUUCAGAAGAAAGACAGUUCUGACUCUCCAAAAUGUAAGGGUUCAUCUCCUUCAAUAUCCAAGAAGAAAAACCGCAAGGGUGGGCUUUCCAUGUUUUUG